Molecule: ribosomal RNA, 484 nt
Filed under: uncultured bacterium
Lineage: Bacteria
Description: partial 16S ribosomal RNA
Rfam family: Bacterial small subunit ribosomal RNA
Source: RNAcentral
GAUUAACGCUAGCGGCAGGCAUAAUACAUGCAAGUUGAACGGCAGCACAGGUAGCAAUACUGGGUGGCGAGUGGCGCACGGGUGCGUAACACGUAUGCAACCUACCCUAUACAGGCGAAUAACCUUUAGAAAUGAGGGCUAAUACGCCGUAGUAUUACAGAUGGGCAUCUAUUUGUAAUUAAAGAUUUAUCGGUAUAGGAUGGGCAUGCGUCCCAUUAGUUAGUUGGUAAGGUAACGGCUUACCAAGACGAUGAUGGGUAGGGGAUCUGAGAGGACUUACCCCCACACUGGUACUGAGACACGGACCAGAACCCUACGGGAGGCAGCAGUAAGGAAUAUUGGGCAAUGGCCGCGAGGCUGACCCAGCCAUGCCGCGUGCAGGAAGACGGCCUUAUGGGUUGUAAACUGCUUUUAUACGGGAAUAAUAGAGUGUACGCGUACAUUUAUGCAAGUAUCGUAUGAAUAAGCAUCGGCUAACUCCGUG